CUCCAGAGUGGAUCCUGAGUACGGCGGAACACGUGAAAUUCCGUCGGAAUCCGGGAGGACCAUCUCCCAAGGCUAAAUACUCCCUAGUGACCGAUAGUGAACCAGUACCGGGAGGGAAAGGUGAAAAGCACCCCGGAAGGGGAGUGAAACAGUUCCUGAAACCGUGUGCCUACAAGUAGUUAGAGCCCGUUAAUGGGUGAUAGCGUGCCUUUUGUAGAAUGAACCGGCGAGUUACGAU
Molecule: ribosomal RNA, 238 nt
Filed under: Listeria monocytogenes
Lineage: Bacteria; Bacillati; Bacillota; Bacilli; Caryophanales; Listeriaceae
Description: partial 23S ribosomal RNA
Rfam family: Bacterial large subunit ribosomal RNA
Source: RNAcentral